CCUGGCUCAGAUUGAACGCUGGCGGCAGGCCUAACACAUGCAAGUCGAGCGGAUGAAGAGAGCUUGCUCUCUGAUUCAGCGGCGGACGGGUGAGUAAUGCCUAGGAAUCUGCCUGGUAGUGGGGGACAACGUCUCGAAAGGGACGCUAAUACCGCAUACGUCCUACGGGAGAAAGCAGGGGACCUUCGGGCCUUGCGCUAUCAGAUGAGCCUAGGUCGGAUUAGCUAGUUGGUGAGGUAAUGGCUCACCAAGGCGACGAUCCGUAACUGGUCUGAGAGGAUGAUCAGUCACACUGGAACUGAGACACGGUCCAGACUCCUACGGGAGGCAGCAGUGGGGAAUAUUGGACAAUGGGCGAAAGCCUGAUCCAGCCAUGCCGCGUGUGUGAAGAAGGUCUUCGGAUUGUAAAGCACUUUAAGUUGGGAGGAAGGGUUGUAAAUUAAUACUCUGCAAUUUUGACGUUACCGACAGAAUAAGCACCGGCUAACUCUGUGCCAGCAGCCGCGGUAAUACAGAGGGUGCAAGCGUUAAUCGGAAUUACUGGGCGUAAAGCGCGCGUAGGUGGUUUGUUAAGUUGGAUGUGAAAGCCCCGGGCUCAACCUGGGAACUGCAUUCAAAACUGACAAGCUAGAGUAUGGUAGAGGGUGGUGGAAUUUCCUGUGUAGCGGUGAAAUGCGUAGAUAUAGGAAGGAACACCAGUGGCGAAGGCGACCACC
RNAcentral lists this ribosomal RNA (716 nucleotides) under Pseudomonas mohnii. RNAcentral describes it as "bacterial SSU rRNA". It matches the Rfam family "Bacterial small subunit ribosomal RNA", at positions 18 to 729 of the family's 1533-position model. The record is from RNAcentral. Lineage: Bacteria; Pseudomonadati; Pseudomonadota; Gammaproteobacteria; Pseudomonadales; Pseudomonadaceae.